AACGAAGGAGACAAGCGUUAUCCGGAAUUACUGGGCGUAAAGCGCGAGUAGGCGGAUCAGCAAGUCCUUUGUGAAAGAUUCCUGCUAAACUGGAAGAGGUCGAAGGAUACUGGUGGUCUAGAGUGGGGUAGAGGGACACGGAAUUCCGGGUGUAGUGGUGAAAUGCGUAGAGAUCCGGAGGAACACCAGUGGCGAAGGCGGUGUCCUAGGCCUCAACUGACGCUAAGGCGCGAAAGCAUGGGGAGCGAACGGG
Molecule: ribosomal RNA, 253 nt
Filed under: uncultured bacterium
Lineage: Bacteria
Description: partial 16S ribosomal RNA
Rfam family: Bacterial small subunit ribosomal RNA
Source: RNAcentral